RNAcentral lists this ribosomal RNA (308 nucleotides) under uncultured bacterium. RNAcentral describes it as "bacterial SSU rRNA". It matches the Rfam family "Bacterial small subunit ribosomal RNA", at positions 29 to 334 of the family's 1533-position model. The record is from RNAcentral.
AACGAACGCUGGCGGCGCGUUUUAAGCAUGCAAGUCGAACGGUAGAGGAACUUCGGUUUCUUGAGAGUGGCGAACGGGUGAGUAACACGUAGAUGAUCUGCCUUGAAGUUGGGGAUAGCCUAUAGAAAUAUGGGGUAAUACCGGAUAAUACCUUAGAACUCUGGUUUUUGGUGAAAGGGGCUUCGGCCUCGCUUUAAGAUGAGUCUGCGGCUUAUUAGCUAGUUGGUAGGGUAAAGGCCUACCAAGGCGACGAUAAGUAGCCGGCCUGAGAGGGUGACCGGCCACAUUGGGACUGAGACGCGGCCCAA